Molecule: ribosomal RNA, 429 nt
Filed under: Gemmatimonadota bacterium
Lineage: Bacteria; Pseudomonadati; Gemmatimonadota
Description: Gemmatimonadetes bacterium partial 16S ribosomal RNA
Rfam family: Bacterial small subunit ribosomal RNA
Source: RNAcentral
UAGGGAAUCUUCGGCAAUGGACGAAAGUCUGUCCGAGCAACGCCGCGUGAGUGAAGAAGGUUUUCGGAUCGUAAAACUCUGUUGUUAGAGAAGAACAAGGACGUUAGUAACUGAACGUCCCCUGACGGUAUCUAACCAGAAAGCCACGGCUAACUACGUGCCAGCAGCCGCGGUAAUACGUAGGUGGCAAGCGUUGUCCGGAUUUAUUGGGCGUAAAGCGAGCGCAGGCGGUUUCUUAAGUCUGAUGUGAAAGCCCCCGGCUCAACCGGGGAGGGUCAUUGGAAACUGGGAGACUUGAGUGCAGAAGAGGAGAGUGGAAUUCCAUGUGUAGCGGUGAAAUGCGUAGAUAUAUGGAGGAACACCAGUGGCGAAGGCGGCUCUCUGGUCUGUAACUGACGCUGAGGCUCGAAAGCGUGGGGAGCAAACAGG